GAGGAAUAUUGGUCAAUGGACGGAAGUCUGAACCAGCCAAGUAGCGUGCAGGAUGACGGCCCUAUGGGUUGUAAACUGCUUUUGUAUGGGGAUAAAGUUAGGGACGUGUCCCUAUUUGCAGGUACCAUACGAAUAAGGACCGGCUAAUUCCGUGCCUGCAGCCGCGGUAAUACGGAAGGUCCAGGCGUUAUCCGGAUUUAUUGGGUUUAAAGGGAGCGUAGGCUGGAGAUUAAGUGUGUUGUGAAAUGUAGACGCUCAACGUCUGAAUUGCAGCGCAUACUGGUUUCCUUGAGUACGCACAACGUUGGCGGAAUUCGUCGUGUAGCGGUGAAAUGCUUAGAUAUGACGAAGAACUCCGAUUGCGAAGGCAGCUGACGGGAGCGCAACUGACGCUUAAGCUCGAAGGUGCGGGUAUCAAACAGGAUUAGAUACCCUGGUAGUCCGCACAGUAAACGAUGGAUGCCCGCUGUUGGUACCUGGUAUCAGCGGCUAAGCGAAAGCAUUAAGCAUCCCACCUGGGGAGUACGCCGGCAACGGUG
This 539-nucleotide ribosomal RNA is filed under the name uncultured bacterium. RNAcentral describes it as "bacterial SSU rRNA". It matches the Rfam family "Bacterial small subunit ribosomal RNA", at positions 356 to 896 of the family's 1533-position model. The record is from RNAcentral.